Molecule: unclassified non-coding RNA, 519 nt
Filed under: uncultured Ramichloridium
Lineage: Eukaryota; Fungi; Ascomycota; Dothideomycetes; Capnodiales
Description: sequence contains ITS1, 5.8S rRNA gene, ITS2
Source: RNAcentral
UUAAGUUCAGCGGGUAUCCCUACCUGAUCCGAGGUCAACCUUUUCGUGAUUUAACGGCCGCCGACGCCCCGCCCUCGCCGCGAUGAUGAAAUUAACCACAACGCUUGGAGACGGGUCGCCCAGCCGGAAAAAAGAGAGACUUUAAGGCGCGCGGCGAGCCGCGACGCCCAACACCCAGCCAGGCUGGAGUGGUGAAAUGACGCUCGAACAGGCAUGCCCCGCGGGAUACCACGGGGCGCAAUGUGCGUUCAAAGAUUCGAUGAUUCACUGAAUUCUGCAAUUCACAUUACUUAUCGCAUUUCGCUGCGUUCUUCAUCGAUGCCAGAACCAAGAGAUCCGUUGUUGAAAGUUUUGUUUUGAUUUUUAAUCAAGACUCCGACGCAAAUUGACGCAGUGUUUAUUGGCCUCCGGGGGCGCCGUCCGCCGCCGAGACGGCGGGGUCGCCCCCGAAGCAACGAGGUUGGUUCACAAAGGGUUGGAGGUCGGGCCCCGGAGGACCCUCACUCGGUAAUGAUCCCU